RNAcentral lists this ribosomal RNA (706 nucleotides) under uncultured bacterium. Its description in RNAcentral is "bacterial SSU rRNA". It matches the Rfam family "Bacterial small subunit ribosomal RNA", at positions 100 to 823 of the family's 1533-position model. The record is from RNAcentral.
GGACGGGUGAGAAACACGUGAGCAACCUGCCUUUCAGAGGGGGAUAACGUUUGGAAACGAACGCUAAUACCGCAUAAAGUAUCGGAGUCGCAUGGCACUGAUAUCAAAGGAGCAAUCCGCUGAAAGAUGGGCUCGCGUCCGAUUAGGCAGUUGGCGGGGUAACGGCCCACCAAACCGACAAUCGGUAGCCGGACUGAGAGGUUGAACGGCCACAUUGGGACUGAGACACGGCCCAGACUCCUACGGGAGGCAGCAGUGGGGGAUAUUGCACAAUGGGGGAAACCCUGAUGCAGCGAUGCCGCGUGAAUGAAGACGGCCUUCGGGUUGUAAAGUUCUGUCGCAGGGGACGAAAAUGACGGUACCCUGCAAGAAAGCUCCGGCUAACUACGUGCCAGCAGCCGCGGUAAUACGUAGGGAGCAAGCGUUGUCCGGAAUUACUGGGUGUAAAGGGAGCGUAGGCGGGAGGAUAAGUUGAAUGUGAAAUCUAUGGGCUCAACCCAUAGCUGCGUUCAAAACUGUUCUUCUUGAGUGAAGUAGAGGCAGGCGGAAUUCCUAGUGUAGCGGUGAAAUGCGUAGAUAUUAGGAGGAACACCAGUGGCGAAGGCGGCCUGCUGGGCUUUUACUGACGCUGAGGCUCGAAAGCGUGGGUAGCAAACAGGAUUAGAUACCCUGGUAGUCCACGCGGUAAACGAUGAUUACUAGGUGU